GAGAAGACUUGGAAAAAACUUAUUAAAGGUGAAGAGUAAAAGUAGGCUUGGGGUUUUCACAUGAACCCCUAUUAAUUGAUGUUUAGUAUUAGGUCUUGGAAAUGGUGUUAUCUACUUUAAUGUUGAGGGACUAUGAAUUAGAGAUUUUAGAAUGUUUGUACAACUCUACAGGAAAGUUGGUUUGGGUUUCACAACAAGUAUGUUAUUAUUUGGGAUAAUGAGGACCAAUCAUAUCGAGCAUUUUUU
This 246-nucleotide unclassified non-coding RNA is filed under the name Hevea brasiliensis (rubber tree). The record is from RNAcentral. Lineage: Eukaryota; Viridiplantae; Streptophyta; Magnoliopsida; Malpighiales; Euphorbiaceae.